This 253-nucleotide ribosomal RNA is filed under the name uncultured bacterium. RNAcentral's name for it is "partial 16S ribosomal RNA". It matches the Rfam family "Bacterial small subunit ribosomal RNA", at positions 524 to 776 of the family's 1533-position model. The record is from RNAcentral.
UACAGAGGUCCCGAGCGUUGUUCGGAUUCAUUGGGCGUAAAGGGUGCGUAGGCGGCGGGGAAAGUCUGAUGUGAAAUCCUGGGGCUCAACCCUGGAACUGCAUUGGAUACUUCCUUGCUAGAGUACUGGAGAGGAAACUGGAAUUUACGGUGUAGCAGUGAAAUGCGUAGAGAUCGUAAGGAAGACCAGUGGCGAAGGCGGCUCACUGGACCGGUACUGACGCUGAUGCGCGAAAGCGUGGGGAGCAAACGGG